This 465-nucleotide ribosomal RNA is filed under the name uncultured bacterium. RNAcentral's name for it is "bacterial SSU rRNA". It matches the Rfam family "Bacterial small subunit ribosomal RNA", at positions 329 to 792 of the family's 1533-position model. The record is from RNAcentral.
GGCCAGACUCCUACGGGAGGCAGCAGUGAGGAAUAUUGGUCAAUGGCCGAGAGGCUGAACCAGCCAAGUCGCGUGAGGGAAGAAUGUCCUAAGGAUUGUAAACCUCUUUUGUCGGGGAGCAAAAAGGCUCUGCGGAGUCGUAUUGAGAGUACCCGAAGAAAAAGCAUCGGCUAACUCCGUGCCAGCAGCCGCGGUAAUACGGAGGAUGCGAGCGUUAUCCGGAUUUAUUGGGUUUAAAGGGUGCGUAGGCGGAGUGUCAAGUCAGCGGUAAAAUUUCGGGGCUCAACCCCGUCGUGCCGUUGAAACUGACACCCUUGAGUGAGUGAGAAGUAAGCGGAAUGCGUGGUGUAGCGGUGAAAUGCAUAGAUAUCACGCAGAACGCCGAUUGCGAAGGCAGCUUACCGGCGCUCAACUGACGCUGAGGCACGAAAGUGCGGGUAUCGAACAGGAUUAGAUACCCCCGUA